UACAGCCUGGGAUGUUCGACAGCCUUGUUUAAUUUGAACCUACAUUUUAUUAUACGGGAUGCCAAAAUGAUCUGUGAGGAUGACAAGCCUCUAACUUUGAAUUGGUAGUCAGAGACACGACUGAGGAAACCCACCUGGCUGAAGCUAGGGCGUCAAAUCAACAGGGAACGGCACUCCGGGUGAUGU
RNAcentral lists this non-coding RNA (186 nucleotides) under Candidatus Darwinimomas equi. RNAcentral describes it as "6S RNA". It matches the Rfam family "6S / SsrS RNA". From Rfam's summary of the family: E. coli 6S RNA was the first non coding RNA to be sequenced, but its function was unknown until recently. It consists of 184 nucleotides that fold into an extended hairpin structure with a large single-stranded internal bulge. The record is from RNAcentral. Lineage: Bacteria; Bacillati; Bacillota; Clostridia; Lachnospirales; Lachnospiraceae.